RNAcentral lists this ribosomal RNA (106 nucleotides) under uncultured bacterium. RNAcentral describes it as "partial 16S ribosomal RNA". It matches the Rfam family "Bacterial small subunit ribosomal RNA", at positions 1369 to 1482 of the family's 1533-position model. The record is from RNAcentral.
CGUUCCCGGACCUUGUACACACCGCCCCGUCAAGCGAUGGAAGCUGGGAGGACCUGAAGACAGUUGCUGUAAGGCGCUGUUUAGGGUAAAACCGGUGACUGGCGCU